Molecule: transfer RNA, 74 nt
Filed under: Gemmatimonadota bacterium
Lineage: Bacteria; Pseudomonadati; Gemmatimonadota
Description: tRNA-Ile
Rfam family: tRNA
About the family: Transfer RNA (tRNA) molecules are approximately 80 nucleotides in length.
Source: RNAcentral
GGGCCCAUAGCUCAGAUGGUGAGAGCAUCCGGCUCAUAACCGGUUGGUCCCUGGUUCGAGUCCAGGUGGGCCCA